AAAAACUUAGGAUAAGACUAAAACCAUGGACCUUCAAAGCCCAAAAUAGGGGAUAACCCCCUAGUUUUUG
Molecule: transfer RNA, 70 nt
Filed under: Corytophanes cristatus
Lineage: Eukaryota; Metazoa; Chordata; Lepidosauria; Squamata; Corytophanidae
Description: tRNA-Trp
Source: RNAcentral